AUCAUCUCUGUAAUGUAUGUUUU
This 23-nucleotide small nuclear RNA is filed under the name Arabidopsis thaliana (thale cress). Its description in RNAcentral is "snRNA_13236". The record is from RNAcentral. Lineage: Eukaryota; Viridiplantae; Streptophyta; Magnoliopsida; Brassicales; Brassicaceae.